This 1701-nucleotide ribosomal RNA is filed under the name Paramecynostomum sp. UJ-2011. RNAcentral describes it as "SSU rRNA". It matches the Rfam family "Eukaryotic small subunit ribosomal RNA". The record is from RNAcentral. Lineage: Eukaryota; Metazoa; Xenacoelomorpha; Acoela; Mecynostomidae.
UCUAUACGUGAAACCGCGAAUGGCUCAUUAAAUCAGCUACUAUUCAUUUGUUUAUCCUACGGCUAUAUGAAUAACUGUGGUAACCCUACAGCUAAUGCAUGAAUCUGCCGAUUAGCCAUAGCAGCGAUCGGAACUUUUACUUGCGCACCCAGGGCCCUAUGAAACAGUGAGGGACAGCAUUUGAAUUUCAAAGUAACUGAAGGACCUUCUUACGCAUCAUAUAAAUGCGGAAGGCGCUGCAAUUAAGCAUCUGCCCUAUCAACUUCUGACGGUAGUGUAACGGACUACCGUGGUUGUGACGGGUGACGGGGAAUCAGGGUUCGAUUCCGGAGAGGGAGCCUGAGAAACGGCUACCACUUUUAAGAAAGGCAGCAGGCACGCAAAUUACCCAAUGUCGGAACGACGAGGUAGUGACGAAAAAUAACGAUAUGAGCCCAUUGGGUUUGUAAUCGGAAUGGAAGAGAUGUAACGCAUCUCUUGAGGAUCUAGUAGAGGGCAAGUCUGGUGCCAGCAGCCGCGGUAACACCAGCCUCUACAAGCAUAUGCAAAAGUUGCUGCGUUUGAAAAGCUCAUAGUUGGGUCCGUUCUAAGUAGAGCUUCUUCUCACCUGGGUGACUGGGUGAACGUUCUAUCUUAGCGUCUUUUCGUUGAGAAUGUUUGCACUUAACUGUGUCGAAUGUUUGAGACGGAAAAUUUACCUUGAGUAAAUUGGAGUGUUCAAAGCAAUCGUGAGUUUGAACAAUAAAGCAUGGAAUAAUGGAGGACGACCCGCACACUGCGAAGCUGGUUAGCUGGUGAUGCGGUAAUGAUUAAAAGGAACAGACGGGGGCAUUUGUAUUGCUACGUUAGAGGUGAAAUUCUUGGAUCGUGGCAAGACAAACUACUGCGAAAGCAUUUGCCAAGAAUGUUUUCAUUAAUCAAGAACGAAAGUCAGAGCAUUGAAGAGGAUUAGAUACCCUCGUAAUUCUGACCAUAAACGAUACCGACUUACGAUUUGUCAAAGUCCCUAAUGACUUGGCAAGGAGUUAACCGGGAAACCAAAGUUUUUUGGCUCCGGGGGAAGUAUGGUUGCAAAAUCGAAACUUAAAGGAAUUGACGGAAGGGCACCACCAGGAGUGGAGCCUGCGGCUUAAUUUGACUCAACACGGGAAAACUCACCAGGUCCAGACAUCGAAAGGAUUGACAGAUUGAGGAUCUUUCAUGAUUCAAUGGGUGGUGGUGCAUGGCCGUUCUUAGUUAGUGGAGUGAUCUGUCUGGUUAAUUCCGAUAACGAACGAGAUCCCAGCCAUUUAAAUAGAACUGUGAAUUUCGAUUCACUUGAACUUCUUAGAGGAACUAUGCGGAAUAUAAUACCGCAAGGAAGUGGGGCUAUAACAGGUCUGUGAUGCCCUUAGAUGUCCUGGGCUGCACGCGCGCUACAAUGGGUGACCUAGAAUGAGGUGUCAUGCCUAGUCCGAGAUGGUCCGGGUAACCACCAAAAGUCACCGCAAAUAUUUGGGAUUGACUCUUGUAAUUAGUAGUCAUGAACGAGGAAUUCCUAGUAAUUUGAUGUCAACAACAUCAUGUGAUUACGUCCCUGCCCUUUGUACACACCGCCCGUCGCUACUACUGAUUGGAUGAUUAAACAAGAUAUGCUGAAGCUCGCUAAUGGGGCCUCGUGCUUGCGUUAGGGCGUGGAAGCGCUUCGAGUUUAUUUGUCUA